Molecule: ribosomal RNA, 402 nt
Filed under: alpha proteobacterium BAL85
Lineage: Bacteria; Pseudomonadati; Pseudomonadota; Alphaproteobacteria
Description: bacterial SSU rRNA
Rfam family: Bacterial small subunit ribosomal RNA
Source: RNAcentral
UGCCUAACACAUGCAAGUCGAACGAAGUCUUCGGACUUAGUGGCGCACGGGUGCGUAACGCGUGGGAAUCUGCCCUUAGGUACGGAAUAACUCAGGGAAACUUGUGCUAAUACCGUAUGAUGUCUUCGGACCAAAGAUUUAUCGCCUAGGGAUGAGCCCGCGUUGGAUUAGCUAGUUGGUGGGGUAAAGGCCCACCAAGGCGACGAUCCAUAGCUGGUCUGAGAGGAUGAUCAGCCACACUGGGACUGAGACACGGCCCAGACUCMUACGGGAGGCAGCAGUGGGGAAUAUUGGACAAUGGGCGAAAGCCUGAUCCAGCAAUGCCGCGUGAGUGAUGAAGGCCUUAGGGUUGUAAAGCUCUUUUACCCGGGAAGAUAAUGACUGUACCGGGAGAAUAAGCCC